Molecule: ribosomal RNA, 461 nt
Filed under: uncultured bacterium
Lineage: Bacteria
Description: bacterial SSU rRNA
Rfam family: Bacterial small subunit ribosomal RNA
Source: RNAcentral
CGGCGUGCCUAACACAUGCAAGUCGAGCGAGGAGAUCCUUCGGGAUGAUCCUAGCGGCGGACGGGUGAGUAACACGUGGGCAACCUGCCUCAUAGAGAGGAAUAGCCUUCCGAAAGGGAGAUUAAUACCUCAUAACAUUGCAGUUUCGCAUGGAACAGCAAUUAAAGGAGCAAUCCGCUAUGAGAUGGGCCCGCGGCGCAUUAGCUAGUUGGUGAGGUAACGGCUCACCAAGGCGACGAUGCGUAGCCGACCUGAGAGGGUGAUCGGCCACAUUGGGACUGAGACACGGCCCAGACUCCUACGGGAGGCAGCAGUGGGGAAUAUUGCACAAUGGGGGAAACCCUGAUGCCAGCAACGCCGCGUGAGUGAUGACGGCCUUCGGGUUGUAAAGCUCUGUCUUCAGGGACGAUAAUGACGGUACCUGAGGAGGAAGCCACGGCUAACUACGUGCCAGCCGCGGC